RNAcentral lists this ribosomal RNA (475 nucleotides) under Treponema denticola. RNAcentral describes it as "bacterial SSU rRNA". It matches the Rfam family "Bacterial small subunit ribosomal RNA", at positions 9 to 472 of the family's 1533-position model. Lineage: Bacteria; Pseudomonadati; Spirochaetota; Spirochaetia; Treponematales; Treponemataceae. The record is from RNAcentral.
GAGUUUGAUUCUGGCUCAGAACGAACGCUGGCGGCGCGUCUUAAGCAUGCAAGUCGAACGGUAAGGGAGAGCUUGCUCUCCCCUAGAGUGGCGGACUGGUGAGUAACGCGUGGGUGACCUGCCCUGAAGCUGGGGAUAGCUAGUAGAAAUAUUAGAUAAUACCGAAUGUGCUCAUUUACAUAAAGGUAAAUGAGGAAAGGAGCUACGGCUCCGCUUCAGGAUGGGCCCGCGUCCCAUUAGCUAGUUGGUGAGGUAAAGGCCCACCAAGGCAACGAUGGGUAUCCGGCCUGAGAGGGUGAACGGACACAUUGGGACUGAGAUACGGCCCAAACUCCUACGGGAGGCAGCAGCUAAGAAUCUUCCGCAAUGGACGAAAGUCUGACGGAGCGACGCCGUGUGAAUGAAGAAGGCCGAAAGGUUGUAAAAUUCUUUUGCAGAUGAAGAAUAAACACAGGAGGGAAUGCCUGUGAGAUGA